CUGAAAUUCUCUGCAUCAAAAGAGAACUGCGGUGAGUGUGUGUGUGUGUGUCUCUGUGUGUGUGUGUGUGUCUGUGUCUCCCUUGGGAGACCCCAUAGCACAGCCUGCGGGUCACCAGCUACUACCUGCGGUGGGAUCAGGUUCACUGAGAGCAGAGCGCUCGCUGAAGCAGAGGCAGGACUCUGAGUGUCUCCAGUUACUUGGUCCAUCUGCUUUGGGCUCUGGUGGAGGUUUAAUGAUGAAGACCGCAUUUUGCUUUGCAGACGUACACUUGAGUCUUAUUGAGAUGAUUUGCUGCAAAGAAACUCUGGCUACUGCUCAGGUGAAACGGCUUUCUUCCCAUACGGUUUCACUUUACUGGAGGCCUCAUCGUAUGAAGAUAUAAUUCUAAAUAUUUGGACCAGACUUUCUUGCGCCCCUGCCUCUGAGGAACUGAGUGCUGGCAUAGUUCCACUGAAAAAAAAAACACCCAUUUACAAGAGAGGAUAUCAGAAAUAUACAUCCUUUCAUCCGUGCCCCACAGGCUACAUGGAAAGAGAGAGCACCAGCUGUUUUUCUCAUGGUGAAUAAGGGUUACUUGGGGAAAUCUCUCUUCCUGUUUUUAUAUGGAGAACUAAAUUGUUGCAUAGCCAGUUAAUUUUGGUUAGGUCAACAGCAAAAGGUUAAUUAUUGGAACCUUCCUCUUUUGCCUGUGUGAGAUUAAUAGGAACCAAAAGAAAAAAGUGAAAUAUAGUGACUUAGUCUAGAAGGGCUGUUGAUUUGGGAUGUUUUUAUUUUGUUUUUAUUAUAUUUGGGGAGAUUUUACAAUUACUCAUCCUUGUCUUCUAGGAAAUAGUGUAAGAAGAGUUUGGAAGCAUGUGUGAUGUGAAUCUCAUCAGAUUCAGAAAGAAGUUUAUAAUAAGUUAGCAUUGAGAAGAAAAUAAAUUGCUUUUAUUGUAUAAGGGAACCAUGUUAUAAAAGCUAAAACCAUUGAGUAACGUAUGUGAUAACUUUGAAAUAAUGUUUUCCAACUCUGAUACCCUUCAAUUUGGCUAGAAUAAUGUUAUACCUUUUUAAAGUUUAUAUUAUGAUGUUCCAUUCUCUUUCUGACCUUGGGUUAAUUAACCCAUCAAAAGUCAUAUGGACUGAUUUCCUUCAAUGUACUAUAAUGUAUUUUUAUCCAUCUGCAUGCUAUUAUGUAACCUCAGAAUAAAGAAGCCAUAUCGCUGUUGAUAUAUUCCACUUCUGUCUUUGGAUUUGGUCAGCAUUACAUAUGGAAGGAGUAACCCACCCUGUAUUGUUAUAAGGAUGGUUUUUCAUUCAUAUCCUUGUUGCUCUUAAUAAAUGUCCUGAA
Molecule: long non-coding RNA, 1333 nt
Filed under: Chinchilla lanigera (long-tailed chinchilla)
Lineage: Eukaryota; Metazoa; Chordata; Mammalia; Rodentia; Chinchillidae
Description: lncRNA (ENSCLAG00000024018.1)
Source: RNAcentral